GAUGAACGCUGGCGGCGUGCCUAACACAUGCAAGUCGAGCGUGAACCCUUAGAAUGAAACUUCGGUCGAAUGAAGAGGGGGAAAGCGGCGGACGGGUGAGUAACGCGUAGGCAACCUGCCCCGUACAGAGGGAUAAGCCUCGGGAAACCGGGAUUAAAACCUCAUAAUACCAUGGUAUCACAUGAUGCAAUGGUCAAAGAUUUAUCGGUAUGGGAUGGGCCUGCGUCUGAUUAGCUGGUUGGUGGGGUAACGGCCUACCAAGGCAACGAUCAGUAGCCGACCUGAGAGGGUAAUCGGCCACAUUGGAACUGAGACACGGUCCAAACUCCUACGGGAGGCAGCAGUGGGGAAUAUUGCACAAUGGGCGAAAGCCUGAUGCAGCAACGCCGCGUGAGCGAAGAAGGCCUUUGGGUCGUAAAGCUCUGUCGGGAAGGAAGAUAAUGACGGUACUUCCCGAGGAAGCCCCGGCUAACUACGUG
RNAcentral lists this ribosomal RNA (479 nucleotides) under uncultured bacterium. RNAcentral describes it as "bacterial SSU rRNA". It matches the Rfam family "Bacterial small subunit ribosomal RNA", at positions 28 to 507 of the family's 1533-position model. The record is from RNAcentral.